RNAcentral lists this ribosomal RNA (253 nucleotides) under uncultured bacterium. Its description in RNAcentral is "partial 16S ribosomal RNA". It matches the Rfam family "Bacterial small subunit ribosomal RNA", at positions 524 to 776 of the family's 1533-position model. The record is from RNAcentral.
UACGUAGGCAGCAAGCGUUGUUCGGAGUUACUGGGCGUAAAGAGUGCGUAGGCGGUGCCCUAAGUCUGUUGUGAAAUCUCCCGGCUUAACUGGGAGGGUGCGGUGGAAACUGGGGUGCUUGAGUGUGGGAGAGGUUAGCGGAAUUCCUGGUGUAGCGGUGAAAUGCGUAGAUAUCAGGAGGAACACCGGUGGUGUAGACGGCUAACUGGACCACGGCUGACGCUGAGGCACGAAAGCGUGGGUAGCAAACAGG